Molecule: ribosomal RNA, 253 nt
Filed under: uncultured bacterium
Lineage: Bacteria
Description: partial 16S ribosomal RNA
Rfam family: Bacterial small subunit ribosomal RNA
Source: RNAcentral
GCAAGUCGAACGGUAACAUGAUCAGCUUGCUGAUUGAUGACGAGUGGCGCACGGGUGCGUAACGCGUAUGCAACCUACCUUUAACUGGAGGAUAGCCCGAAGAAAUUCGGAUUAAUACUCCAUAAUAUAUGUCUUUCGCAUGUUAGACAUAUUAAAGCUUUGGCGGUUAAGGAUGGGCAUGCGUAACAUUAGCUAGUUGGUAAGGUAACGGCUUACCAAGGCUACGAUGUUUAGGGGGUCUGAGAGGAUGGUC